GCACAGACCCCCCCCCCCCCCCCCCUCUGAUGCGAUUUGGCAGCACAACAACCACCCCGAGCCCUAGCCUGAUUCAUCACCGCCCCUUUUCUUCUUAAUCUGAUUCUGCUCAUCGCCAUCUCCCUCUGCUCUGAGGUGCCACCUUUGCUCGGGUUGGUUUCGGACAGGAGCAAGGAAUCCAAGCCCUAGUCUCACCCUCUGUUAAAUCUCCGGCAGAGAGGAAGAACUUGGCAUCGUUGAAGUUCUUUGCAGUGUCGACAAUAGAUCCUUGGCAGCAAUAUUCUUCGGCAAGCAAUUUUUGACAGCAACUACCUACUGUGGAUCAACAAGAGUGGUUUGGUGAAUUGAGGGCUUUGAUUUGAGGCGAGCAUCUCGACGUGAGGUCUAUUUUGGAGACGAUCUCCACUUUUUGUGGAGGGUUGAGGCCGUCAGGAGGUUUCAGUUGCUAGUCCCCUGGUCACGAGAGUUUACUUAUUAGUCUUGUGGUUUUCUGUUUAUUUCAG
This is a long non-coding RNA of Zingiber officinale, 503 nucleotides long. RefSeq lists it as uncharacterized. The record is from RefSeq and is a predicted model, not a curated record. Lineage: Eukaryota; Viridiplantae; Streptophyta; Magnoliopsida; Zingiberales; Zingiberaceae. The transcript is spliced from 4 exons.